RNAcentral lists this ribosomal RNA (743 nucleotides) under Xanthomonas citri pv. citri. Its description in RNAcentral is "partial 23S ribosomal RNA". It matches the Rfam family "Bacterial large subunit ribosomal RNA", at positions 2111 to 2850 of the family's 2925-position model. The record is from RNAcentral. Lineage: Bacteria; Pseudomonadati; Pseudomonadota; Gammaproteobacteria; Lysobacterales; Lysobacteraceae.
UUAAUACUGGGAAUCGGUAAUGCAUGUACAGGAUAGGUGGGAGACUAGGAAGCAUGGUCGUCAGGUCAUGUGGAGUCACCGGUGGGAUACCACUCUUGUAUUGCUGAUUUCCUAACCUGCGGCCGUGAAUCCGGUCGGGGGACACUGUUAGACGGGCAGUUUGACUGGGGCGGUCGCCUCCGAAAAGGUAACGGAGGCGCUCAAAGGUUCCCUCAGAAUGGUUGGAAAUCAUUCAUAGAGUGUAAAGGCAUAAGGGAGCUUGACUGCGAGACCUACAAGUCGAGCAGGGUCGAAAGACGGACUUAGUGAUCCGGUGGUUCCGCAUGGAAGGGCCAUCGCUCAACGGAUAAAAGCUACCCCGGGGAUAACAGGCUUAUCUCCCCCAAGAGUUCACAUCGACGGGGAGGUUUGGCACCUCGAUGUCGGCUCAUCGCAUCCUGGGGCUGUAGUCGGUCCCAAGGGUUGGGCUGUUCGCCCAUUAAAGCGGUACGCGAGCUGGGUUCAGAACGUCGUGAGACAGUUCGGUCCCUAUCUGUCGUGGGCGCAGGAUAUUUGAUGGGAGCUGUUCCUAGUACGAGAGGACCGGAGCGGACGUACCUCUGGCGCACCAGUUGUUCUGCCAAGGGCAUAGCUGGGCAACUAUGUACGGAUCGGAUAAACGCUGAAAGCAUCUAAGCGUGAAGCCGACCCAAAGAUAAGAUAUCCCACUGAUUCGAUCAGGUAAGAUCCCUUGAAGACUACAA